CCCUUAGAUGUUCUGGGCCGCACGCGCGCUACACUGAUGAAUGCAACGAGCUCUACCCUUGACCGAAAGGCCCGGGUAAACUUGUGAAACUUCAUCGUGAUGGGGAUAGAUUAUUGCAAUUAUUAAUCUUCAACGAGGAAUUCCUAGUAAGCGCGAGUCAUCAGCUCGCGUUGAUUACGUCCCUGCCCUUUGUACACACCGCCCGUCGCUACUACCGAUUGAACGUUUUAGUGAGGCAUUUGGACCGACGCAUCUCAGUUUAACCGCUGGUUUGUGUUGGAAAGACUUCCAAACUUGAGCGUUUAGAGGAAGUAAAAGUCGUAACA
This 326-nucleotide ribosomal RNA is filed under the name uncultured eukaryote. Its description in RNAcentral is "partial 18S ribosomal RNA". It matches the Rfam family "Eukaryotic small subunit ribosomal RNA", at positions 1470 to 1796 of the family's 1831-position model. The record is from RNAcentral.